This 257-nucleotide ribosomal RNA is filed under the name uncultured prokaryote. RNAcentral's name for it is "partial 16S ribosomal RNA". It matches the Rfam family "Bacterial small subunit ribosomal RNA", at positions 524 to 780 of the family's 1533-position model. The record is from RNAcentral.
UACGGAGGAUGCAAGCGUUAUCCGGAUUUAUUGGGUUUAAAGGGUGCGCAGGUUGUUUGAUAAGUCAGUGGUGAAAGUCUGUCGUUUAACGGUAGGAUUGCCAUUGAUACUGUUAGACUUGAAUAUGGAUGAGGUAGGCGGAAUGUGUAGUGUAGCGGUGAAAUGCAUAGAUAUUACACAGAACACCGAUUGCGAAGGCAGCUUACUAAUCCAUCAUUGACGCUGAGGCACGAAAGCGUGGGGAUCAAACAGGAUUA